AUAAUUUUCUUGUGUCUUACAUUUUUUUCUCUUAUUUUAUAUAAGAUGCUAUGUGAGCUGGUCAGAGAUUAUAAAAAUAAUUUUUAUAAAAUUAGUGCAAAAAAUUUAGAUUUAAUUUCAAAAUUAGUGUAUUGUUAUAUUUUAUGUUGUUAGAAUAUUUUAUUUUGUUCUUUUAAUUGGAGAACGCUGUAUAAGCCUACUUUUUUUAGUUUUUGUUCCUUUCAGUUUUUAUAAUGAAAAUAAGUAAAUAUUGAUUGAGCCCAUUUAUUUAGGUGAGUACUAGGGGGGCUUCCUAAAUCAUGAGGAUGUUUUUAUAUAUAAAUAUAGCAAACAAACAUGACAGUGCUUUCUGUGUCACAGAUGCUUUAUAAUAAGCCAUAAAUAUUCCUGUUGGAGUUAGUUUGUAACUUCAAGACAGAGAUGGAACAUAUCAAUUGUGAGAAAUAACAUUGAUUUUUUAUGUGGAGAGGACAUUUAUUUUCAGGCUGCAAAGCUCAGUUUUGCUGAAUUAAAAAAUUGUGCUUCUUUUAUUUCCUAAUUGUCUUAGUUUUGUUUGUCUUAUUAUGUGUAUUUCAGCUGUGUAUGCAUCACAGCCCUCCUUUUUGCUGUGCUGUGGCUACAGUUUUCUCACUGUUCUCUUCACACCAUGUCAUUUCACAUGGUAUAUUGUAGGUUUUGAUGAGAAAUCGGUAUUUUUAAUGCACUGCAAGAUUGGUUUUAACUGGAGAUUUUGCAUAUCAAUAUAAUUUUCUGAUCAGUUAAAUUAAAACAAAAAGCAUACAGUGUCCACAGAUGAAAGGAUUAAAUCAUUUAGCGUUGUUUUUCUCUGUUUGUUAAAGAAUAAUCUUAUUAAAUUCUUACACAAAGUGUGGCAAAUAUAAAAUUUGCUUGAAAAUAUAUCUUAGAAAUUAAACUUUUAAUUUAAUUUUCUACAGUAUACUUAUGCCACAAUGUACGUUUCCAUGCAAAAUCUUCUAUUUGUAAGUGUGAACAUUAAACAUUGCAAAAUAGUAAAAUGACCUCUGUGAUUUUGAAACCUGGAGUAAUAUUUCUUUUCCAUAUUCAUAUUACAAUUUGAAGAAAUUUUCUCAGUUUUAUAUGUUUUUUUAGUGGGUGAAGUUCAGUCUACAGUUUUUACAUUUAGUCACCUAACUCUAGCCAACUUCUUGGUCAUAUUCUCUGGAAAACAUUCGAAGAUCAUGGCAGCUUUUAGAUAAAAACAUUUUCUAUUAUUUUGCGUGCAAACUUGUUUACUGUGUUCACAGAGUGGCCAGUCAUGAGACCAUAAGAAACAGCUGCCCUUUUAGUGUCUUUCAUACCGUCUGUAAUAUAUAAAUUGUGCAUUUAUUCUGUGAAGCAUGACAUUUUGAAGUAUAUACACAUUGUCAAAUGCUUCAUUCUAGGUAAUUAAUGCUUUACCUAACAUAGUUAACAUUUUUGUGGUAAGAGCACAUGACAAUGUUUUAGCAUUUUUCAGAAAUACAAAUACAUUGUUAUGAACUAUAGGCACCAUGCAGUACAAAAGCUUUUUUGAACUUAUUUCUCCUAUUCAACUGUAAUUAUGUAUUUGACUGACAUCUUUCUAAACCCCUCUUUUUUCCAAAUAUGUUGGCAUCUGGUGGUCACCAUUUUAUUCUCCACUUCAGUUAGAUUAAUUUUUCUAGAAUCAUGUAAGUGAAAUAAUUUGGUUAAUCUAUGUAAUUGAAAAUAAUAAAUUUUUUUAUUUUAAA
This 1730-nucleotide long non-coding RNA is filed under the name Homo sapiens (human). RNAcentral's name for it is "non-protein coding lnc-ZNF675-2:1". The record is from RNAcentral. Lineage: Eukaryota; Metazoa; Chordata; Mammalia; Primates; Hominidae.